RNAcentral lists this long non-coding RNA (1812 nucleotides) under Elaeis guineensis (African oil palm). RNAcentral's name for it is "long non-coding RNA (EGUI_LNC027001)". Lineage: Eukaryota; Viridiplantae; Streptophyta; Magnoliopsida; Arecales; Arecaceae. The record is from RNAcentral.
UUAUCUUUUUUUUUCUCCAUAAGUGUUGAACACUUCACCACACCUAAUGCCAAGUGACUUGGUAGCGCAAAGCUCCAUCUGUUCCAUGCCUGUUCUCUAACUAGCUUCCCAAGAGCAAUGUUCAGCAAGCCUAGAAGACUCACAGCAGCACUUGCUCAUUUAACCAAUGCAUGUGCUUUGACUCUUCUGCUAUACCUUAAAGUCUCAAACGGUUCUGUUUGUCUUCCACUCUCAACUUCACUCCAACCUCACAGCAACUGGCAUUCUUAUUAAAGCAAAAUGGCACCACAAUACCUCUCAGCACUCCACUUCAGCUUAGACAUUAUUUUGCAAGAAUACAAUAGCUCCCCCCAACUAACUAGCAUCUUUGUGAGAAAUGCAGCCUCUAGCUCCAACACCGCUCAACCAUCUCAAAGUCCCAACCUCAAGCAUGCACCCGUAAACUUUGUCUGAUUAUGCCGAUUCAGAUUUAUGAACAAAUAUUUUUUAUGAAAGAUAGAAUACUCAAAAAAAAGAUCGCUUAAAGGAAAAGUUGGCAUCCUAUGGAACCUAGGAAGCCAGUACAACUCAUGGAAAAAUAAGCAAGCCACAAUCAAGGCACCGAAAGUGAACAACCAAACAUCAAUAAAAUCUCAAGAGAAAGCAAAGAAACAAAUGGCUGACCAACAACAGACCAAGCCCCAAAAAGUAUACACCCACUAGCUUAGUGACAGUCACUAACAUAAUGCUCUGUCCCAAGUCAAUUCAGCACCCAAUCAACAACCAACAUUAAGCAUGGCGCUAAAAUAGGAACCAAAAUGCAAGCUGUCCAAUAGUUUAAACCUCCAUAAAGCCCAACAUAGGAAGACUUCUUAUCGUGAUAUAUUAGAUAUCCAGACACUAGAGCUUGAUUGUUUGGCACUUCAAAUGUUAAGAAUCCAGGCACCAUUACUUGCAAAAGUGUGUCCUUCCAACAGUAAACUCUGAAAAGUAUCAGGCACUUGGCACAAAUGCAAGCUCCCAUGGUUGUUCACUUGCAAAAGUGUGUCCUUCAAACAGUAAACUCUGAAAAGUAUCAGGCACUUGGCACAAAAUGCAAGCUCCCAGUCUUAUCCAGGCACUUGGCACAAAUGCAAGCUGUCCAACACUUUAAACCUCCAUAAAGCCCAACAUGGGAAGACUUCUUAUCGUGAUAAAUUAGAUAUCCAGACACAAGGGCUUGAUUGUUUGGCACUUCAAAUGUUAAGAAUCCAGGCACCAUUACUUGCAAAAGUGUGUCCUUCAAACAGUAAACUCUGAAAAGUAUCAGAACGUCAAGCCAACUUAAGCAGGACGUUCCAAUUUCAGGGUGCCAAGGAGCAUCUUGUUGUGUCUCGUCAUAUCCAAAUGUCUACAAUUGUGAGCACCUCAGAAUCCUAAAAACUGAAUUACUCAGAAACUUAGUUAUAACAAAUCAUCAAAAGGCGUAAAUCAUAAACCAUCCUUGUUUAGACCUAGACCAACAGAAAAUUACCAACUAAUCAGCACACCUAACAAUGAACCAAUCAAGCCAAAAAGAAAACCAAGAUGUUGAUCUACUAAUAGCACCAAUAAGUCCACUCACAAUAACAUCCAAGAUGAGUUCCCAUUAGCAAAAAUAUCGAAAUAAGAACUGAUCGAACCUAACAAAAGUGGCUUGUUGAUAGAACUCAUCUAGGAUUUAAAAUAUCUAAGUAGUCCUACUAUAUAUGGUCCAUGAAAGAAGGUAGGUCAGCAUAACACACACACACACACACACACAACAAAAAGAAAAAAGAAAAAAGGCCAAAUUGACAUGACGGACAAUUAGAAGAU